This 472-nucleotide ribosomal RNA is filed under the name uncultured Peptostreptococcaceae bacterium. Its description in RNAcentral is "bacterial SSU rRNA". It matches the Rfam family "Bacterial small subunit ribosomal RNA", at positions 8 to 507 of the family's 1533-position model. Lineage: Bacteria; Bacillati; Bacillota; Clostridia; Peptostreptococcales; Peptostreptococcaceae. The record is from RNAcentral.
AGAGUUUGAUCCUGGCUCAGGAUGAACGCUGGCGGCGUGCCUAACACAUGCAAGUCGAGCGAUUCUCUUCGGAGAAGAGCGGCGGACGGGUGAGUAACGCGUGGGUAACCUACCCUGUACACACGGAUAACAUACCGAAAGGUAUGCUAAUACGGGAUAAUAUAUAAGAGUCGCAUGACUUUUAUAUCAAAGAUUUUUCGGUACAGGAUGGACCCGCGUCUGAUUAGCUUGUUGGCGGGGUAACGGCCCACCAAGGCGACGAUCAGUAGCCGACCUGAGAGGGUGAUCGGCCACAUUGGAACUGAGACACGGUCCAAACUCCUACGGGAGGCAGCAGUGGGGAAUAUUGCACAAUGGGCGCAAGCCUGAUGCAGCAACGCCGCGUGAGCGAUGAAGGCCUUCGGGUCGUAAAGCUCUGUCCUCAAGGAAGAUAAUGACGGUACUUGAGGAGGAAGCCCCGGCUAACUACGUG